UAAACUAGGAUUAGAUACCCUAUUAUUAAGAGCAAAAAAUUGUAAGUAAAUAAUAAUUACGAAAGCAAAAAAUUAUGGCGGUAUCUUAAGCUUUUCAGAGGAAUUUGCUCUGUAAUGGAUAAAACACCUAAAUCUUACUUAAAUUAGUUAGAAUUCAGUUUGUAUACCACUAUUAAAAUAAUAAUUUACUAUUAUUAUUAAUAUUCUUUAUUAAGAAAAAAGUUAAGUCAAGGUGCAGCAAAAAUUUAAGAAUGAAGUGAAUUACAUUUCUUAAAAGAAAAAAAAAUUGAAAAUAAAAUUUAGGAUUUGAUAGUAAAAUUAAAAUAAAAAGUUAAUUGAACUAAG
This 345-nucleotide ribosomal RNA is filed under the name Hyalomma aegyptium. RNAcentral's name for it is "partial 12S ribosomal RNA". Lineage: Eukaryota; Metazoa; Arthropoda; Arachnida; Ixodida; Ixodidae. The record is from RNAcentral.